UAACCUGGUUGAUCCUGCCAGUUAGUCAUAUGCUUGUUUCAAGGACUAAGCCAUGCAUGCCUCAGAAUCACUGCACUGCAGGAAUCUGCGCAUGGCUCAUUACAUCAGACGUAAUCUGCCGCAAAACUGUUGCGGUUUACUGCAAGACUGGAUACCUUGGCGAAACGCCAAGCUAAUACAUGAACAAGGGGGU
RNAcentral lists this ribosomal RNA (193 nucleotides) under uncultured eukaryote. Its description in RNAcentral is "partial 18S ribosomal RNA". It matches the Rfam family "Eukaryotic small subunit ribosomal RNA", at positions 1 to 184 of the family's 1831-position model. The record is from RNAcentral.